AACGAACGCUGGCGGCAGGCCUAAUACAUGCAAGUCGAACGGAUGUAGCAAUACAUUAGUGGCGCACGGGUGCCUAACGCGUGGGAACAUACCCUUGAGUAAGGAAUAAUGUCUGGAAACGGACACUAAUACCUUAUAAUGACUUCGGUCCAAAGAUUUAUCGCUCAAGGAUUGGCCCGCGUCUGAUUAGCUAGUUGGUGAGGUAACGGCUCACCAAGGCGACGAUCAGUAGCUGGUCUGAGAGGAUGAUCAGCCACACUGGGACUGAGACACGGCCCAGACUCCUACGGGAGGCAGCAGUAAGGAAUAUUGGACAAUGGAGGAGACUCUGAUCCAGCCAUGCCGCGUGAGUGAAGAAGGCCUUAGGGUUGUAAAGCUCUUUCAAUGGUGAAGAUAAUGACGGUAGCCAUAGAAGAAGCCCCGGCUAAAUUCGUGCCAGCAGCCGCAGUAA
This 451-nucleotide ribosomal RNA is filed under the name uncultured bacterium. RNAcentral describes it as "partial 16S ribosomal RNA". It matches the Rfam family "Bacterial small subunit ribosomal RNA", at positions 29 to 523 of the family's 1533-position model. The record is from RNAcentral.